This 509-nucleotide ribosomal RNA is filed under the name uncultured bacterium. RNAcentral's name for it is "partial 16S ribosomal RNA". It matches the Rfam family "Bacterial small subunit ribosomal RNA", at positions 29 to 507 of the family's 1533-position model. The record is from RNAcentral.
ACGAACGCUGGCGGCGUGCUUAACCCAUGCAAGUCGAACGAAGAGCGAUGGAAGCUUGCUUCUAUCAAUCUUAGUGGCGAACGGGUGAGUAACGCGUAAUCAACCUGCCCUUCAGAGGGGGACAACAGUUGGAAACGACUGCUAAUACCGCAUACGAUCUAAUCUCGGCAUCGAGGAUAGAUGAAAGGUGGCCUCUACAUGUAAGCUAUCACUGAAGGAGGGGAUUGCGUCUGAUUAGCUAGUUGGAGGGGUAACGGCCCACCAAGGCGAUGAUCAGUAGCCGGUCUGAGAGGAUGAACGGCCACAUUGGGACUGAGACACGGCCCAGACUCCUACGGGAGGCAGCAGUGGGGAAUCUUCCGCAAUGGACGAAAGUCUGACGGAGCAACGCCGCGUGAGUGAUGACGGCCUUCGGGUUGUAAAGCUCUGUUAAUCGGGACGAAAGGCCUUCUUGCGAACAGUUAGAAGGAUUGACGGUACCGGAAUAGAAAGCCACGGCUAACUACGUG